RNAcentral lists this ribosomal RNA (501 nucleotides) under uncultured bacterium. Its description in RNAcentral is "partial 16S ribosomal RNA". It matches the Rfam family "Bacterial small subunit ribosomal RNA", at positions 30 to 523 of the family's 1533-position model. The record is from RNAcentral.
AUUGAACGCUGGCGGCAGGCUUAACACAUGCAAGUCGGGCGGGGAAGGGUAGCUUGCUACCUAACCUAGCGGCGGACGGGUGAGUAAUGCUUAGGAAUCUGCCAUUUAGUGGGGGACAACAUUCCGAAAGGAAUGCUAAUACCGCAUACGUCCUACGGGAGAAAGCAGGGGAUCUUCGGACCUUGCGCUAAAUGAUGAGCCUAAGUCGGAUUAGCUAGUUGGUGGGGUAAAGGCCUACCAAGGCGACGAUCUGUAGCGGGUCUGAGAGGAUGGUCCGCCACACUGGGACUGAGACACGGCCCAGACUCCUACGGGAGGCAGCAGUGGGGAAUAUUGGACAAUGGGCGGAAGCCUGAUCCAGCCAUGCCGCGUGUGUGAAGAAGGCCUUAUGGUUGUAAAGCACUUUAAGCGAGGAGGAGGCUACUUAGAUUAAUACUCUAGGAUAGUGGACGUUACUCGCAGAAUAAGCACCGGCUAACUCUGUGCCAGCAGCCGCAGUAA